Molecule: unclassified non-coding RNA, 83 nt
Filed under: Pseudomonas umsongensis
Lineage: Bacteria; Pseudomonadati; Pseudomonadota; Gammaproteobacteria; Pseudomonadales; Pseudomonadaceae
Source: RNAcentral
GUAGGAGCUGCCGCAGGCUGCGAUCUUUUGAUCUUGCCCCCUCAAAAACAAGAUCAAAGAUCGCAGCCUGCGGCAGCUCCUAC